ACGCUGACAGAAUGCUUAACACAUGCAAGUCAACUUGAAUUUGGGUUUUUAACUUAGAUUUGGGUGGCGGACGGGUGAGUAACGCGUAAAGAACUUGCCUCACAGCUAGGGACAACAUUUAGAAAUGAAUGCUAAUACCUGAUAUUAUGAUUUUAAGGCAUCUUAGAAUUAUGAAAGCUAUAAGCACUGUGAGAGAGCUUUGCGUCCCAUUAGCUAGUUGGAGAGGUAACAGCUCACCAAGGCGAUGAUGGGUAGCCGGCCUGAGAGGGUGAACGGCCACAAGGGGACUGAGACACGGCCCUUACUCCUACGGGAGGCAGCAGUGGGGAAUAUUGGACAAUGGACCGAGAGUCUGAUCCAGCAAUUCUGUGUGCACGAUGAAGUUUUUCGGAAUGUAAAGUGCUUUCAGUUGGGAAGAAAAAAUGACGGUACCAACAGAAGAAGUGACGGCUAAAUACGUGCCAGCAGCCGCGGUAAUACGUAUGUCACGAGCGUUAUCCGGAUUUAUUGGGCGUAAAGCGCGUCUAGGUGGUUAUGUAAGUCUGAUGUGAAAAUGCAGGGCUCAACUCUGUAUUGCGUUGGAAACUGUAUAACUAGAGUACUGGAGAGGUAAGCGGAACUACAAGUGUAGAGGUGAAAUUCGUAGAUAUUUGUAGGAAUGCCGAUGGGGAAGCCAGCUUACUGGACAGAUACUGACGCUAAAGCGCGAAAGCGUGG
This 717-nucleotide ribosomal RNA is filed under the name uncultured Fusobacterium sp. RNAcentral describes it as "bacterial SSU rRNA". It matches the Rfam family "Bacterial small subunit ribosomal RNA", at positions 33 to 764 of the family's 1533-position model. The record is from RNAcentral. Lineage: Bacteria; Fusobacteriati; Fusobacteriota; Fusobacteriia; Fusobacteriales; Fusobacteriaceae.